Molecule: ribosomal RNA, 496 nt
Filed under: uncultured bacterium
Lineage: Bacteria
Description: partial 16S ribosomal RNA
Rfam family: Bacterial small subunit ribosomal RNA
Source: RNAcentral
GAUGAACGCUGGCGGCGUGCCUAAUACAUGCAAGUCGAGCGAACAGACGAGGAGCUUGCUCCUCUGACGUUAGCGGCGGACGGGUGAGUAACACGUGGAUAACCUACCUAUAAGACUGGGAUAACUUCGGGAAACCGGAGCUAAUACCGGAUAAUAUAUUGAACCGCAUGGUUCAAUAGUGAAAGACGGUUUUGCUGUCACUUAUAGAUGGAUCCGCGCCGCAUUAGCUAGUUGGUAAGGUAACGGCUUACCAAGGCAACGAUGCGUAGCCGACCCGAGAGGGUGAUCGGCCACACUGGAACUGAGACACGGUCCAGACUCCUACGGGAGGCAGCAGUAGGGAAUCUUCCGCAAUGGGCGAAAGCCUGACGGAGCAACGCCGCGUGAGUGAUGAAGGUCUUCGGAUCGUAAAACUCUGUUAUUAGGGAAGAACAAAUGUGUAAGUAACUAUGCACGUCUUGACGGUACCUAAUCAGAAAGCCACGGCUAACUACGU